CUGGGUAUUUGGACCGUGAUUGUAAAGAAGCUGUUCUAAACCCGUCGGGGGGCGGUGUUUGCAGGGAGGGAAGUAGCGUGAGGCAGGUUGGGGAAGGCGUGAAAGGCCUAGGAGAGCCGAGGGGCGGUGGAGGGGUGUGGCCUAGAAUGUUAGGCGGAGCGGGAGGUGGGCCGGGCCUUCGGACGCCCUGUCCCGCAGACGUUGACGAGUGCAGCGAGGAGGACCUUUGCCAGAGCGGCAUCUGUACCAACACCGACGGCUCCUUCGAGUGCAUCUGUCCUCCGGGACACCGCGCCGGCCCGGACCUCGCCUCCUGCCUCGACGUGGACGAAUGUCGCGAGCGAGGCCCAGCCCUGUGCGGGUCGCAGCGCUGUGAGAACUCUCCCGGCUCCUACCGCUGUGUCCGGGACUGCGAUCCUGGGUACCACGCGGGCCCCGAGGGCACCUGUGACGAUGUGGACGAAUGCCGGAACCGGUCCUUCUGCGGUGCCCACGCCGUGUGCCAGAACCUGCCCGGCUCCUUCCAGUGCCUCUGUGACCAGGGUUACGAGGGGGCACGGGAUGGGCGUCACUGCGUGGAUGUGAACGAGUGUGAAACACUACAGGGUGUAUGUGGAGCUGCCCUGUGUGAAAAUGUCGAAGGCUCCUUCCUCUGUGUCUGCCCCAACAGCCCGGAGGAGUUUGACCCCAUGACUGGACGCUGUGUUCCCCCACGAACUUCUGCUGACGUGGACGAAUGUCAGCUCUUCCGAGACC
RNAcentral lists this small RNA (756 nucleotides) under Pan troglodytes (chimpanzee). Its description in RNAcentral is "retained intron". Lineage: Eukaryota; Metazoa; Chordata; Mammalia; Primates; Hominidae. The record is from RNAcentral.